Onychomys torridus (southern grasshopper mouse) is the source of this 790-nucleotide long non-coding RNA. RefSeq lists it as uncharacterized. Lineage: Eukaryota; Metazoa; Chordata; Mammalia; Rodentia; Cricetidae. The record is from RefSeq and is a predicted model, not a curated record. The transcript is spliced from 4 exons.
CGGAGCCAGCCCGCGUUCCCGGCAUGCCCCGGGGCGGCGGGGUUGGCUCUAACGAAUUUGAAUGAGGAGCCUCGGCGCUUUCGGCGCCAUUUUCGAGUGAUGCCUGAGCUCAUCAAUCUAGCGGGACGGAAGGGAUAACCUGUCCGAGCGUAGCGGGACGCUGGGAUGGCGCCGAAAACCCCCCCAGAAAUCAUCAAAAAACAAGCAAACAAACAAAAACCCCAAAUAACGGAAACCAAAGGGCCGUCGGCGGAGCUCGGCCAGAUCUGGCGCGGACGAUUUUAACCUUUAGAAGAGAACCAAUUCUGGAAAACAGCCUAAGUUUCUUUGACUGAAUACCGACAUCAUGAAUUGGAACAUGAUAGAGGAUUAAGGUUUAACAAUGAUAAAUGAAGACAUUACUAAAACAGCCUGCUUAGUAGCUCAACAAUUAUUUUUGCUAGAGAUGGAACCCAGGGCCUUACAGGAACCUAGGCAAGCACUUUACCUCCCUACCUCUUUAUCUGUGGAAUAUGGAUGUCCUAGAAGUGGCAUGAUGAUGUUAAUGCUAGCUGCUGUCAGUUGAGUAAUGGUAGUAUUUUGCAUUCAUUUUUCCAAGUUGCAUAAAGAGUUUUCUUUCCAGUUUAAAGUUCUAGUAGAAAGUUUUUGUUGCUUAAGAAAUUCAAAAGUCAUUGAUCUUUUUUUCUCAUUGCUUUUUCUUUUUGUAAAUGCUUUUAUUUCCCACAUUGCAUUUUUAGCUACCUAAACUUAAAUUAUCUAUUUAUAUAAUGCAAAUUUAAAAUGUAUUAUU